GACGAACGCUGGCGGCGUGCUUAACACAUGCAAGUCGAACGGAAAGGCCCUGCUUUUGUGGGGUGCUCGAGUGGCGAACGGGUGAGUAACACGUGAGUAACCUGCCCUUGACUUUGGGAUAACUUCAGGAAACUGGGGCUAAUACCGGAUAGGAGCUCCUGCUGCAUGGUGGGGGUUGGAAAGUUUCGGCGGUUGGGGAUGGACUCGCGGCUUAUCAGCUUGUUGGUGGGGUAGUGGCUUACCAAGGCUUUGACGGGUAGCCGGCCUGAGAGGGUGACCGGCCACAUUGGGACUGAGAUACGGCCCAGACUCCUACGGGAGGCAGCAGCGGGGAAUAUUGCACAAUGGGCGGAAGCCUGAUGCAGCAACGCCGCGUGCGGGAUGACGGCCUUCGGGUUGUAAACCGCUUUCGCCUGUGACGAAGCGUGAGUGACGGUAAUGGGUAAAGAAGCACCGGCUAACUACGUGCCAGCAGCCGCGGUGAUACGUAGGGUGCGAGCGUUGUCCGGAUUUAUUGGGCGCAAAGGGCUCGUAGGUGGUUGAUCGCGUCGGAAGUGUAAUCUUGGGGCUUAACCCUGAGCGUGCUUUCGAUACGGGUUGACUUGAGGAAGGUAGGGGAGAAUGGAAUUCCUGGUGGAGCGGUGGAAUGCGCAGAUAUCAGGAGGAACACCAGUGGCGAAGGCGGUUCUCUGGGCCUUUCCUGACGCUGAGGAGCGAAAGCGUGGGGAGCGAACAGGCUUAGAUACCCUGGUAGUCCACGCUGUAAACGGUGGGUACUAGGUGUGGGGUCCAUUCCACGGGUUCCGUGCCGUAGCUAACGCUUUAAGUACCCCGCCUGGGGAGUACGGCCGCAAGGCUAAAACUCAAAGGAAUUGACGGGGCCCCGCACAAGCGGCGGAGCAUGCGGAUUAAUUCGAUGCAACGCGUAGAACCUUACCUGGGUUUGACAUGGAUCGGGAGCGCUCAGAGAUGGGUGUGCCUCUUUUGGGGUCGGUUCACAGGUGGUGCAUGGCUGUCGUCAGCUCGUGUCGUGAGAUGUUGGGUUAAGUCCCGCAACGAGCGCAACCCUUGUUCACUGUUGCCAGCACGUUAUGGUGGGGACUCAGUGGAGACCGCCGGGGUCAACUCGGAGGAAGGUGGGGAUGACGUCAAGUCAUCAUGCCCCUUAUGUCCAGGGCUUCACGCAUGCUACAAUGGCUGGUACAGAGAGUGGCGAGCCUGUGAGGGUGAGCGAAUCUCGGAAAGCCGGUCUCAGUUCGGAUUGGGGUCUGCAACUCGACCUCAUGAAGUCGGAGUCGCUAGUAAUCGCAGAUCAGCAACGCUGCGGUGAAUACGUUCCCGGGGCU
Molecule: ribosomal RNA, 1346 nt
Filed under: uncultured bacterium
Lineage: Bacteria
Description: bacterial SSU rRNA
Rfam family: Bacterial small subunit ribosomal RNA
Source: RNAcentral